Molecule: ribosomal RNA, 474 nt
Filed under: Candacia columbiae
Lineage: Eukaryota; Metazoa; Arthropoda; Copepoda; Calanoida; Candaciidae
Description: partial 12S ribosomal RNA
Source: RNAcentral
UGCGGUUAUACCACACCCAAUAUUUCUCGUUUUAAAUCUAAAUAAAUUUAAUUUUCAACCUGUCCAAAGUUGUAAUAACCCCGGUUAGAAAAUUAAAGCACACAAUUUACCCCGCUAAAAUAAAAUAAAAUUAGACCUUUAGUAUAAGCGGCCUAAAUUAUUUUAAGGACUAAAUAAAAUUUUAUUAAAUUUAACCAAUAUGGCGGCAUUUUAUCCCGGGUAGGGGAGUUUGGCUUUUAAAUUGACACCCCCCACUAUAUCUCACCCUAGUUUUUCUUGUGUGUGGUUGUUUAAUGCAGUCUACUAAGACGUUUUUUAAUUCAAAUAACACACCGACAUAAUAGGGGACAUCUAAACUACUUUAACUAAAUUAAUCACCAUCCAAUUCUUCAAUCGGACUUACUAGUAAAAUAUUCUACACUAUAUUUGAAGGGGUAUUAAAAUGUGCACAAAUCGUCCGUCGUUCUCAGUCAU